This 341-nucleotide small RNA is filed under the name Pongo abelii (Sumatran orangutan). RNAcentral's name for it is "Metazoan signal recognition particle RNA (ENSPPYG00000032004.1)". It matches the Rfam family "Metazoan signal recognition particle RNA". Rfam says of the family: The signal recognition particle (SRP) is a universally conserved ribonucleoprotein. It is involved in the co-translational targeting of proteins to membranes. Lineage: Eukaryota; Metazoa; Chordata; Mammalia; Primates; Hominidae. The record is from RNAcentral.
GCCAGGCGUGAUGGUUCACGCCUGCAAUCCCAACACUUUAGGAGGCUGAGGCUGGAGGAUGCCUUGAGCCCAGGAGUUCGAGGCUGCAGAGAGCUAUGAUUACCACUGAAAUGCAGCCUGGGUGACAGAGACUCUGCCUCAAAAAUAAAAAAGAAAAGAAAAAAAAAGAAAGAAAGGAGGGAAGUUUUGUGUUUUUCUUUUUUUUUUUUUUUUUUGAGAUGGCAUGAUCUCUCUUUUUUUUUGAGGUGGAGUUUCACUGUGUCACCCAGGCUGGAGUGCAGUGGUAAUCAUAGCUCACUGCAGCCUCGAAUUCCUGGGCUAAAGGCAUCCUCAGGCCUCAG